ACGGCGAGUGAAGCGGCAACAGCUCAAAUUUGAAAUCUGGCCUCGGCCCGAGUUGUAAUUUGCAGAGGAUGCUUUUGGUGCGGUGCCUUCCGAGUUCCCUGGAACGGGACGCCACAGAGGGUGAGAGCCCCGUAUGGUCGGACACCAAUCCUGUGUAAAGCUCCUUCGACGAGUCGAGUAGUUUGGGAAUGCUGCUCUAAAUGGGAGGUAAAUCUCUUCUAAAGCUAAAUACCGGCCAGAGACCGAUAGCGCACAAGUAGAGUGAUCGAAAGAUGAAAAGCACCUUGAAAAGGGGGUUAAACAGUACGUGAAAUUGUUGAAAGGGAAGCACUUGUGACCAGACUUGGGCCGGGCGGCUCAUCAGGGGUUCUCCCCUGUGCAUUCCGCCCGGUACAGGCCAGCAUCGGUUCUUACCGGGGGAUAAGAACGGCAGGAACGUGGCUCCCUCUCGGGGGAGUGUUAUAGCCUGCCGUACGAUACCCUGGCGGGGACCGAGGUUCGCGCUUCCGCAAGGAUGCUGGCGUAAUGGUUACUAGUGACCCGUCUUGAAACACGGACCAAGGAGUCGUCCAUUAGAGCGAGCGUUUGGGUGUAAAACCCGCACGCGUAAUGAAAGUGAAAUUAGGUGAGAGCUUCGGCGCAUCAUCGACCGAUCCUGAUGUUCUCGGAUGGAUUUGAGUAAGAGUUUUAACGGACGGACCCGAAAGACAGUGAACUAUGCUUGUAUAGGGUGAAGCCAGAGGAAACUCUGGUGGAGGCUCGCAGCGGUUCUGACGUGCAAAU
This 783-nucleotide ribosomal RNA is filed under the name Tubakia dryina. RNAcentral's name for it is "eukaryotic LSU rRNA". It matches the Rfam family "Eukaryotic large subunit ribosomal RNA", at positions 86 to 898 of the family's 3401-position model. The record is from RNAcentral. Lineage: Eukaryota; Fungi; Ascomycota; Sordariomycetes; Diaporthales; Tubakiaceae.